RNAcentral lists this ribosomal RNA (1116 nucleotides) under Neofusicoccum luteum. RNAcentral's name for it is "eukaryotic LSU rRNA". The stretch from base 517 to 670 matches the Rfam family "5.8S ribosomal RNA". The record is from RNAcentral. Lineage: Eukaryota; Fungi; Ascomycota; Dothideomycetes; Botryosphaeriales; Botryosphaeriaceae.
AUUUUAAGAUUUAAAAGAGGACAGGGUUCUCUUAGUUGACCUUGGGGGAGGGAUUUUACACACUAAUAAAAAACUUUUCUAGGUGAACUGUAUCAACCCUUUUAGUUGGAGGUGUGCUUGGCGUUUUUGUGAGCCACGCCCAAUCAUGGCGAAUGUGGGACUUCGGUCUGGAGUAGUAGUUUUUUGUUUUAAACCCAUUUAGCAAAUACUGAUUAUACUGUGGGGACGAAAGUCUCUGCUUUUAACUAGAAAAGAAACUUUUAACCAGGGGAUGUCGUUGGGAAGUAAAAAAGUCGUAACAAGGUUUCCGUAGGUGAACCUGCGGAAGGAUCAUUACCGAGUUGAUUCGAGCUCCGGCUUGACUCUCCCACCCCAUGUUGUACCUACCUCUGUUGCUUUGGCGGGCCGCGGUCCUCCGCACCGACCCCCGUUCGGGGGGCCGGCCAGCGCCCGCCAGAGGACCACAAAACUCCAGUCAGUAAACGUCGCAGUCUGAGAAACAAGUUAAUAAACUAAAACUUUCAACAACGGAUCUCUUGGUUCUGGCAUCGAUGAAGAACGCAGCGAAAUGCGAUAAGUAAUGUGAAUUGCAGAAUUCAGUGAAUCAUCGAAUCUUUGAACGCACAUUGCGCCCCUUGGUAUUCCGAGGGGCAUGCCUGUUCGAGCGUCAUUUCAACCCUCAAGCUCUGCUUGGUAUUGGGCUCCGUCCUCUGUGGACGCGCCUCGAAGACCUCGGCGGUGGCGUCUUGCCUCAAGCGUAGUAGAAAACACCUCGCUUUGGAGCGCACGGCGUCGCCCGCCGGACGAACCUUUGAAUUUUUCUCAAGGUUGACCUCGGAUCAGGUAGGGAUACCCGCUGAACUUAAGCAUAUCAAGAAGGGGGGAGAGAAAAGACCUUUGGUGGGGAAGGUUGUUCGCUUGCAUAAUAGCGGAUACACUCGUCCCCACAGGAAACUUGGUAUCGCUAGGUGGCCUGAGACAGUUAGUCUGCGAGUACAGCUGGCACUGCCUACAAGCUACGAUCGCUAGGCGCGGGUGCACGUUAGCGUGUAGCGAGCGCCUUCCUGCAGGGCGUGGAUUCAGACCGUGUAAUGAAUUUCGAGGGAUGGGAUUGAA